UGUAAACUUUAAACUUUCAGCGAUGGAUGUCUUGGCUCACACAACGAUGAAGGACGCAGCGAAUUGCGAUACGCAGUAUGACUUGCAGACUUCUGCGAUUUACCAGACCUCUGAACGUAACAAACACACCGCCUCUGCUCGCACGCGGUACUCCCGUUUCAGUGAGCCCCC
RNAcentral lists this ribosomal RNA (171 nucleotides) under Babesia ovata. RNAcentral describes it as "5.8S ribosomal RNA". It matches the Rfam family "5.8S ribosomal RNA". Rfam says of the family: 5.8S ribosomal RNA (5.8S rRNA) is a component of the large subunit of the eukaryotic ribosome. It is transcribed by RNA polymerase I as part of the 45S precursor that also contains 18S and 28S rRNA. The record is from RNAcentral. Lineage: Eukaryota; Apicomplexa; Aconoidasida; Piroplasmida; Babesiidae.